Molecule: ribosomal RNA, 207 nt
Filed under: uncultured bacterium
Lineage: Bacteria
Description: partial 16S ribosomal RNA
Rfam family: Bacterial small subunit ribosomal RNA
Source: RNAcentral
AUAACACUUCUAACGGGGUGCUAAUACCGCAUCACAUCCCUUGAUCGCAUGGUCGAGGGAUCAAAGCUGGCCUCUACUUGUAAGCUAGCGCCUGAAGACGAUCCCGCGUCAGAUUAGCUUGUUGGUGAGGUAACGGCUCACCAAGGCAGCGAUCUGUAGCUGGUCUGAGAGGAUGGUCAGCCACACUGGGACUGAGAUACGGCCCAG